AGAUUGAACGCUGGCGGCAGGCCUAACACAUGCAAGUCGAGCGGUAGAGAGGUGCUUGCACCUCUUGAGAGCGGCGGACGGGUGAGUAAUGCCUAGGAAUCUGCCUAGUGGUGGGGGAUAACGUUCGGAAACGGACGCUAAUACCGCAUACGUCCUACGGGAGAAAGCGGGGGACCUUCGGGCCUCGCGCCAUUAGAUGAGCCUAGGUCGGAUUAGCUAGUUGGUGAGGUAAUGGCUCACCAAGGCGACGAUCCGUAACUGGUCUGAGAGGAUGAUCAGUCACACUGGAACUGAGACACGGUCCAGACUCCCGUACGGGAGCAGCAGGUGGGGAAUUAGUUGGACAAGUUGGGGACGAAAGCCUAGGA
Molecule: ribosomal RNA, 368 nt
Filed under: uncultured soil bacterium
Lineage: Bacteria
Description: bacterial SSU rRNA
Rfam family: Bacterial small subunit ribosomal RNA
Source: RNAcentral